RNAcentral lists this ribosomal RNA (449 nucleotides) under Jujubinus pseudogravinae. RNAcentral describes it as "partial 16S ribosomal RNA". It matches the Rfam family "Bacterial large subunit ribosomal RNA", at positions 1998 to 2597 of the family's 2925-position model. The record is from RNAcentral. Lineage: Eukaryota; Metazoa; Mollusca; Gastropoda; Trochida; Trochidae.
GGUUUGACGAGAGCUAUGCUGUCUCUUUUGGAAUAUUUAAAAAUUAACUUUUAGGUGAAGAGGCCUAAAUUUGUUUAAGGGACAAGAAGACCCUGUUGAGCUUUAGUAAAAUUAUGAGUGCAAUGGAACUUGUGAGGUUUGCUUCACUAGUUAUUAUGUAGUUGUUAUAAUAAUAGGCUUGUAAUUAAUCUUUAGUUGGGGCGACUGAGGAACAUAUAAAGCUUCCUUAAUUUUAUAUAUAUUAAUGUUAUGUUGUAAGUUUUUAAAUGUUUUUGUAUUAUUUUGAUCCAAUUUGUUUUGAUUAAAAAAAAAAGUUACCACAGGGAUAACAGCGUAAUCUUUCUGGAGAGAUCUAAUCGAAAGAAGGGUUCGCCACCUCGAUGUUGGACUAAGAUAUCCUAAGGGUGCAGAAGCUCUUAAGGGUUGGUCUGUUCCACCAUUAAAAUCUU